Molecule: RNA transcript, 2302 nt
Organism: Triticum aestivum (bread wheat)
Lineage: Eukaryota; Viridiplantae; Streptophyta; Magnoliopsida; Poales; Poaceae
Exons: 5
Source: RefSeq, a predicted model, not a curated record
CAUGCUUUAUUAUUCUCUGGUUCUCCGAUUUGCUGUGUACUGCUGCCAGCUAGUCUGAUUGUGAGAAGCUUUAUGGCAGCGAUAUGAACUAAUUUUAGAAGUUGAGCUGUUGUGUGCAAAUUUUGUUUAUUUCCAGUGCAAAUUUUGUGGUACCGAUAUGAACUAAUCUUUUUUUUCCAUUGGUCAUUUAGUUCACCUUUCACUAAGAGUCAUGUUUACGGUGUUACUCUUGUUAUGCUUCUGCCCAAGAUAAGUUAAUUUUUGCUCUUCCAAAAAGGUUCCCCGGAUAUGUUUCCUGUUUUGUGCUUAGUCUGCCAUGAUGUGUUUAGUCUGCCACCGUGUUUAGUGUCUCUUUGUGCUUGAUAAGAGGAUUGUUCAAAUGUAAAAACUUUCUUUUUACAUGAGAUGACAUGGCUUUUGCCCCCUGUUUUCGCUGACUUGGUUUCUGCAGGUAGCAUAGUGUAUAACUGCUGGUAACAUUGAGUCGUCAAGGAGAAGUAGCAGGAGGAAAAAUGGAAAGCGCAAGUGGAAGCGGAAAAGCUAAAGGUGGUGGGGGUCAUGGAGGAACAUCUGAAAGCGGUAAGAGGUACAAGUUUGAUGCCGCGCUGAUUGAUGCACAACUUAUGAAAAGAUGUGACAGUAGAAUUAGUGAAGCUGACUGGAAGAACCUUAUUACUUACUGGAGAUCUUCGGUAUUUGAAGCUGUCAAACUUGUCCAUCAGCCUCGAAGAGAUCAAGUUUAUAUCGAGACAAAUACAUGCAAGAAAGGGGAUAAGAAAGGGAGUUAUGUGCCGCAGGCAGAAGCAACAAUUAAAUAUCUCAUAGGAAAGCUGAAAAGCGCACUGAAUGGAAGGAAAAAGCAUUCAAGAAGGUGAUCUGUUUGCACAUGUAUGUGGAAUGAAGGAGCCAAGGGGUCGUGUUCGUACUUCUGUAUGCAUGGACUGGUCAUGAAACUCCUGUUGCUCAGGCAACAAUUUCCAAAUUUGACCCGUAUUUGGUCAGGCAAGAUAGUGCUAGCUUAAUUUAUGAAUAAUGGAAAAAUAUAUUGAGGCUGUGAAGAAGGCUGCCAUCGAGACAAAGAGCGAGCACCCCAAGGAUUAAUGCGUGGCAUAGAAGGUUAUCAAAAGAACUAUGUCUUUUUGUUAAUUAAUUUCCUAGAUAAGUACACUCGCACAUGCAUCUUUGCGACAAAAUAAAAACUAAACUACUCUCUCUCUCUCUCUCUCUCUCUCUCUCUCUAAUGUUAUCAAAAGUACUAAUUGUGAAUUUCAUCUCUAUUUUCUCCAAAAACUCUGUUUGGUAUCCCUUUCACUGUAAGUUUAUUACUAUGUGAUUAGAGAAAUUAAGAUGUAUAUGUGCAUACUGUAAGAACAUGAUCAGUGGUGUACAGAUCCUAUGAAGUGAAAUACCCAACGCAGUUUAUACUCAACGCAGUUUAUGUGUACAGAUCCUGUGUGCAUAUUUUCGUUUUUCCUAGAUUUAUAGAACAAUAGCAUAUGCGGCAUAAGCAAAAACUGUAUGUGAUGUAAACUAUGGUCUAAUGAUUUAAGAUCGUCAUAGUUAUUCCCAACUAAUAAUCUCAAACACAAAAAAGGUACCCUGUGUGUAUGCACAGGUCGAUGAAAAUGUCACACAAUUGAUUCUAUGCUGUAUCACCCAAUGUAUAGCAGCUUCCUUGACUUUAUUUUGUUCUCAUCGAGUGGCAUGGUAUUCUGCCAUGUUCCCCUGUCUAUGCAUCAUUGGCCCUUGGCCGGUGCUUCUCCUGUUGAGCGCCUAGGGGGAGAUUAAAUAAGAACAGCAGCAGAGCAACAUCGGCGUUGAAAAAGAGCAUCGGGGAGAUUAUUAUGCAUGGCAGAUUAAUACACUUCUAUAACUAUGUAAUUUCGAUAUUUAUUGUACUGAAGCUCCACUAUAACAACCAGUGCACUAAAUAACAACAACUUUUGUAAUCCAUGUGCAGUUCUAGGUUCUGGCUUUGUAGUGUGCAUCAUCUAGUUGAAAAAUGAAAUGAUGUGAAACUAUGUUCGAUCUUGCUGGUUUGCUGCUUGUCAACCUUGCUAUGCUGCUGUCUGCUGAAUUCUGGGUGUACGUCGAUGCAAAUGAACAUGGAAACGACUUCAGCUUCACAUUUUUUUUACUAAGCCUCAUGAUGCUAAUGGUAGUUGGUUUCUAUACUCUGCAAGCCUCAUGAUGCUAAUUGAAAUAUCCUUUAUCAUGUUGCAGAUGCUAAGCAAAUGCUUUCGAUGCUACCUGUUCUUAUUCAGCUGCUAACUUUUCUUAAUCAUCUGAUUUCUUCUUUCAU